ACCUGGCUGGCUCAGUUGGUGGAGCAUGUGAUUCAUGAUCUUGGGGUCAUGAGUUCAAGCCUCAUGAUGGGUG
Molecule: transfer RNA, 73 nt
Filed under: Canis lupus familiaris (dog)
Lineage: Eukaryota; Metazoa; Chordata; Mammalia; Carnivora; Canidae
Also listed under: 2 other names
Rfam family: tRNA
About the family: Transfer RNA (tRNA) molecules are approximately 80 nucleotides in length. Their secondary structure includes four short double-helical elements and three loops (D, anti-codon, and T loops). Further hydrogen bonds mediate the characteristic L-shaped molecular structure. tRNAs have two regions of fundamental functional importance: the anti-codon, which is responsible for specific mRNA codon recognition, and the 3' end, to which the tRNAs corresponding amino acid is attached (by aminoacyl-tRNA synthetases). tRNAs cope with the degeneracy of the genetic code in two manners: having more than one tRNA (with a specific anti-codon) for a particular amino acid; and 'wobble' base-pairing, i.e. permitting non-standard base-pairing at the 3rd anti-codon position.
Source: Rfam by way of RNAcentral